Varanus komodoensis (Komodo dragon) is the source of this 725-nucleotide non-coding RNA. Lineage: Eukaryota; Metazoa; Chordata; Lepidosauria; Squamata; Varanidae. The record is from the annotation of a RefSeq genome assembly.
GAAUUUGACACACUUGGAGUCUCCGGGUGGUUCCAGAAGUUUGGAGUCUCCCGAAGUCAGAUCUGGUCAUGGCACUGAGGCUUCUGAUUGGAUUCCUGAUGAUCUUCCCUUCAUGUGUUUCUUCCCAGAUCACCCUCACAGAGUCUGGAGGUGGAGUGAAGAGGCCGGGAGAGACCAUUCAGCUGACCUGUACUGUUUCUGGGUUUUCGCUAUCCAGCUACCACAUGAGCUGGGUCCGUCAGCCCCCAGGAAAGGGACUGGAGUGGACUGCAGUUGUUGAGUAUGAUGGUGACCUGUACUAUAACAGUGCUCUGAAGAACCGGCUCACCAUCUCGAGGGACACCUCCAAGGGCCAGGUGUUCCUGCAAGUCCGUGACCUGAAGCCUGAGGAUUCCGGCCUGUAUUACUGUGCAAGAGACACAGUGAGGAAGCUCACCAUCUCGAGGGACACCUCCAAAAACCAGGUGUUCCUGCAAGUGCGUGAGCUGAAGCCUGAGGGCUCCGCCGUGUAUUACUGUGCAAGAGUCGCACACUACACCAUGAGCUGGGCCCAUCAAGCCUCAGGAAAGGAUUUGAAGUGGGCAGCAGGUAUUGGGUAUGACGGUGCUCUCUUCUAUAACACUGGUCUGAGAAACCGGCUCACCAUCUCGAGGGGCACCUCCAAGGGCCAAGUGUUCCUGCAAGUGCGUGACCUGAAGCCUGAAGACUCCACCGUGUAUUCCUGA